Long non-coding RNA from Leopardus geoffroyi (Geoffroy's cat), 465 nucleotides. RefSeq lists it as uncharacterized. The transcript has 3 exons. The record is from RefSeq and is a predicted model, not a curated record. Lineage: Eukaryota; Metazoa; Chordata; Mammalia; Carnivora; Felidae.
AUCUUCACUGUCCGUAACACAAAGCAAAAUCAUCUUUAUCUGUUUUGAAAGACUGGAUAACGGUUCUUUGCAAUUUGUUUGUUUAAUACAGGCUUAAUCUCCCUCCAGCCCACUCUCCUGUCUGACACCAAAUCAAAAACUCAACUGAAACAAAAGAAAAAAGGUAAUGGUGACUUCCCUUCACAAACUCCAGCUGAACCUUCCUUGGAGGAAAAUUGCCCCUAAGAGCCCGGGGGGUGGCUCAAUAUGGUGACGUAGGAUGAUCUUGAACUCCCCUCCUCCCAUGAACACACCAAAUCUACAGCUACAUAUGGAACAGUUCCCUCUGAAAAAGACCUGAAAACUAGUUGAGCAACUUCUUCACAUCAGGCAACAAGGAAAAGGCCAAAGUGAAGUGGGUAGCAGAGGCUGAGACACGGUCUCUACCCCAGCAAGGCAACCCACAAUCACAACGUAACUCACAAA